RNAcentral lists this ribosomal RNA (426 nucleotides) under uncultured bacterium. Its description in RNAcentral is "bacterial SSU rRNA". It matches the Rfam family "Bacterial small subunit ribosomal RNA", at positions 354 to 796 of the family's 1533-position model. The record is from RNAcentral.
GCAAGGAAUUUUGUACAAUGGGCGAAAGCCUGAUACAGCGACGCCGCGUGGGGGAUGAAGGCCUUCGGGUUGUAAACCCCUUUUCCCAGGGAUGAAUAAUGACAGUACCUGGGGAAUAAGUCACGGCUAACUACGUGCCAGCAGCCGCGGUAAUACGUAGGUGGCGAGCGUUAUCCGGAUUUACUGGGCGUAAAGUGAGCGCAGACGGUUCUUCAAGUCAGUUGUUAAAUCUCUCGGCCUAACCGGGUGAGCGCAUCUGAUACUGUUGAACUAGAGGACAACAGAGGGAAGUGGAACUCCCGGUGUAGUGGUGGAAUGCGUAGAUAUCGGGAAGAACACCAGUGGCGAAGGCGGCUUCCUAGGUUGUUUCUGACGUUCAUGCUCGAAGGUGUGGGGAGCGAACAGGAUUAGAAACCCCGGUAGUCC